This 1056-nucleotide long non-coding RNA is filed under the name Aquilegia coerulea. RNAcentral describes it as "long non-coding RNA (ACOE_LNC001790)". The record is from RNAcentral. Lineage: Eukaryota; Viridiplantae; Streptophyta; Magnoliopsida; Ranunculales; Ranunculaceae.
UUCAGAGUUGUUCUGAGGCUGUAUCUCGAAUUCAGUUACACCAACAAGUUUGCCUUCCUCAAUCGUGACAUGCACUGUAAUGCAAACAAUCUGAGUAUGAAUGAUCAUUCAUUAAUAUCUUGAUGAUCUUGUUUUAUGAUCAAGAUAGGAAAAACCUCCGAUCAAUCUCAAAAUCGUGCAUAUUUAACUAUAAGCUAUCGAAAAACAGAACAAUGCGCAUGCAGAUCAAUUUAAAUAUGAAACAAUUUUUGUGUUCAGUAUCUCAUUCUCAGCGACACUACUAAUUGAUGCAAGUCGAAAUGCCAAAUAGAUAAAAGUCUGUAUAAAUAGCUAAUAAACAUCGUAAAAACAACUAGGUUCCAAAUGAUUCUUGAAGUAAAAAAAAAAGAAAUCCAUUCAAUAUCAAUUCUUGUUCUAACAUGAAACUCAAUAUUCCAAAACAAAAAGAGGGAAAUGGGAUUUCGCCAUCUCGGGUUCUUGUUCCUGUUUCUUAGAAGCUCAUAUGGAUUAUACUUGAGUUGUUAAUGAGUUCUAAUACAUAUAUUCUUGAUUAUUAAUUUCUUUGAUAAUGAUUUAUCAAAAAGGAAUUAUGGUUUAAUUUCCAAACAACCAAAUAAGAUUACUAAAAGAGAAAACAAUUAACAUGAACAUUAAUUUAAUAUCACUUAAUGGAGAAUUAUUAAUUAAGAAGAAUGGGAUUUUUCUGAAACAAACCUGGAUGAGAGUAGAACCAAAAAAUGAAGACACAGAUGAUCAAAAUCAGAGGAAUAAGAUGAAUCCAUUUCUCAGAAAACAAUGGUCUCUUCUUUCUUUGAGAAGAUGGAGGAGGAGGAAGAACAAGUGGUGGCAUGUUGAUACGGUAUUCAUCAGAAACACGAGACGAACUCGCCAAUCUUUGCAUCUUAAUUGAUUUAUCAAGAGAAAGUAAAAGUAAUCAAUCAAUAAGGUAGAACAAUGAAGAAGAAGAAGAAGAAGAAGAAGGAAAGAUGUAAUCAAAGAGAAAAGAGAGUGAUUUGAGUUCAAAGUGCAAAGAAAAGGAGUUAUUUAUAACAGAGA